RNAcentral lists this ribosomal RNA (385 nucleotides) under uncultured bacterium. Its description in RNAcentral is "bacterial SSU rRNA". It matches the Rfam family "Bacterial small subunit ribosomal RNA", at positions 370 to 772 of the family's 1533-position model. The record is from RNAcentral.
AAUGGGCGCAAGCCUGAUCCAGCCAUGCCGCGUGAGUGAUGAAGGCCCUAGGGUUGUAAAGCUCUUUCACCGGUGAAGAUAAUGACGGUAACCGGAGAAGAAGCCCCGGCUAACUUCGUGCCAGCAGCCGCGGUAAUACGAAGGGGGCUAGCGUUGUUCGGAAUUACUGGGCGUAAAGCGCACGUAGGCGGGUAUUUAAGUCAGGGGUGAAAUCCCGGAGCUCAACUCCGGAACUGCCUUUGAUACUGGGUACCUAGAGUAUGGAAGAGGUAAGUGGAAUUCCGAGUGUAGAGGUGAAAUUCGUAGAUAUUCGGAGGAACACCAGUGGCGAAGGCGGCUUACUGGUCCAUUACUGACGCUGAGGUGCGAAAGCGUGGGGAGCAAA